Molecule: long non-coding RNA, 525 nt
Filed under: Homo sapiens (human)
Lineage: Eukaryota; Metazoa; Chordata; Mammalia; Primates; Hominidae
Description: non-protein coding lnc-SRSF12-3:8
Source: RNAcentral
AAACGCUGGCGGCCGCUCGUACCCUACCAGGCGCUCUGCCCCGCCGUGGGGUUUUGGGGGUGCUGUGGAGAAGGCAGGGCUCGGGACUCUUCCACCUCCUUGGCUGCUCUGGCCUUUGAGUUAUGCUCUAAGAUUAUCGAUUACUUUUCCGUUGUUGCUUAUUUCCCACAGCAGCAGAAUGAGAACGGUUAUUAGUUAAUAGCCAUCAGAGACAGACCAAGUGGAACACAGUCCUCGGAAAAACGCCACUCUGUAGCAUUAGUAAUUAAAACCUCACAAGACUUCUCAGUCCUUUAUGUGGAGCUGGGGGCAGGAAGAAUUGCUUCUGGAAGCUGAUGGAGUUGGACAUGUGGCUUUCUAGAAUCUGUGCCCAGCUUGUCAAGAAGUUGAAUCGGUGCAACCAGCGUUUGUGAAAGCAGCAUUUCCCAUUUCACAUAAAGUCAGCUUCUGGCCAACUGGACAAGUCUGAACAAAUAUGAAACCCACUAAAAGGCCAGUGACAGGUGCACACACUACUGACUCUGG